CCCUUAGAUGUUCUGGGCCGCACGCGCGCUACACUGACGGAGGCAGCGAGCGUGUCCUUCGCCGGCAGGUGCGGGCAAUCUUGCGAGUCUCCGUCGUGCUGGGGAUAGAUGGUUGCAAUUGUCGAUCUUGAACGAGGAAUUCCUAGUAAGCGCGAGUCUUCAGCUCGCGCUGAUUACGUCCCUGCCCUUUGUACACACCGCCCGUCGCUACUACAGAGUGCCCGUGUCCAAGAAACGGUCGGACCUGUGCGGCCUCUCCGGGCGACCGGAGGGCCGUUACGGGGAAGACCCUUUAUUUGACGCGGGUCGAUGAAGUAAAAGUCGUAACA
This 329-nucleotide ribosomal RNA is filed under the name uncultured eukaryote. Its description in RNAcentral is "partial 18S ribosomal RNA". It matches the Rfam family "Eukaryotic small subunit ribosomal RNA", at positions 1470 to 1796 of the family's 1831-position model. The record is from RNAcentral.